AGCGAACGCUGGCGGCAGGCCUAACACAUGCAAGUCGAACGAACCUUUCGGGGUUAGUGGCGGACGGGUGAGUAACACGUGGGAACGUGCCUUUAUGUUCGGAAUAACUCAGGGAAACUUGUGCUAAUACCGAAUGUGCCCUUCGGGGGAAAGAUUUAUCGCCUUUAGAGCGGCCCGCGUCUGAUUAGCUAGUUGGUUGAGGUAAUGGCUCACCAAGGCGACGAUCAGUAGCUGGUCUGAGAGGAUGAUCAGCCACAUUGGGACUGAGACACGGCCCAAACUCCUACGGGAGGCAGCAGUGGGGAAUCUUGCGCAAUGGGCGAAAGCCUGACGCAGCCAUGCCGCGUGAAUGAUGAAGGUCUUAGGAUUGUAAAAUUCUUUCACCGGGGACGAUAAUGACGGUACCCGGAGAAGAAGCCCCGGCUAACUUCGUG
RNAcentral lists this ribosomal RNA (434 nucleotides) under uncultured bacterium. RNAcentral's name for it is "partial 16S ribosomal RNA". It matches the Rfam family "Bacterial small subunit ribosomal RNA", at positions 29 to 507 of the family's 1533-position model. The record is from RNAcentral.